This 254-nucleotide ribosomal RNA is filed under the name uncultured bacterium. Its description in RNAcentral is "partial 16S ribosomal RNA". It matches the Rfam family "Bacterial small subunit ribosomal RNA", at positions 524 to 773 of the family's 1533-position model. The record is from RNAcentral.
UACGUAGGGUGCAAGCGUUAAUCGGAAUUACUGGGCGUAAAGCGCGCGUAGGUGGUUUGUUAAGUUGGAUGUGAAAUCCCCCGGGCUCAACCUGGGAACUGCAUUCAAAAACUGACAAGCUAGAGUAUGGUAGAAGGUGGUGGAAUUUUCCUGUGUAGCGGUGAAAAUGCGUAGAUAUAGGAAGGAACACCAGUGGCGAAGGCGACCACCUGGACUGAUACUGACAUGAGGUGCGAAAAGCUGGGGGAGCAAAC